UUUAGAAAUAUAAUUUACAAAAUGCUGAUUACAAAAUAUACAUACUCUGUUUUAUUCAAAAUUAAAACUGUGAAAGGAUUUAGAGAAAAUAUUCCCUUGGCCUUAUGUAGAAUAGUCAGACAAUUUUGUGGCUUUUUUAUUGGUAACAUCCACAGCUAAGUGAUAACUAAAUGUUCCUAUUCUUCUAGUUGACGGGCAGUAAAUAUUCAAGACAAUGAUGAGGGCAUCAUCCAGUGUGAUAUUCCGGAUGGAAGUCCACACCACGUAAGUUAGUGUCCCUCUUGUCUCUCACAUGAGCUGAAUUUUCAGGAAAGCAGAGAAGUCAGGCAAUCAGCCAACGGUCUG
RNAcentral lists this long non-coding RNA (345 nucleotides) under Homo sapiens (human). RNAcentral describes it as "HSALNT0057170". The record is from RNAcentral. Lineage: Eukaryota; Metazoa; Chordata; Mammalia; Primates; Hominidae.